UUAAGCAUAUCAAUAAGCGGAGGAAAAGAAACCAACAGGGAUUGCCCCAGUAACGGCGAGUGAAGCGGCAACAGCUCAAAUUUGAAAUCUGGCCCCCCAGGGCCCGAGUUGUAAUUUGCAGAGGAUGCUUUUGGCGCGGCGCCUUCCGAGUUCCCUGGAACGGGACGCCAUAGAGGGUGAGAGCCCCGUCUGGUCGGACGCCUAGCCUGUGUAAAGCUCCUUCGACGAGUCGAGUAGUUUGGGAAUGCUGCUCUAAAUGGGAGGUAUAUGUCUUCUAAAGCUAAAUACCGGCCAGAGACCGAUAGCGCACAAGUAGAGUGAUCGAAAGAUGAAAAGCACUUUGAAAAGAGGGUUAAACAGUACGUGAAAUUGUUGAAAGGGAAGCGCUUGUGACCAGACUUGGGCCCGGUGGAUCAUCCAGCGUUCUCGCUGGUGCACUCCGCCGGGUCCAGGCCAGCAUCAGUUCGCCGCGGGGGAGAAAGGCUUCGGGAACGUGGCUCCUACGGGAGUGUUAUAGCCCGUUGCACAAUACCCUGGGGCGGACUGAGGUUCGCGCUCCGCAAGGAUGCUGGCGUAAUGGUCAUCAGCGAC
This 591-nucleotide ribosomal RNA is filed under the name Purpureocillium sp. HU-2014. RNAcentral describes it as "LSU rRNA". It matches the Rfam family "Eukaryotic large subunit ribosomal RNA", at positions 34 to 648 of the family's 3401-position model. The record is from RNAcentral. Lineage: Eukaryota; Fungi; Ascomycota; Sordariomycetes; Hypocreales; Ophiocordycipitaceae.